Molecule: ribosomal RNA, 666 nt
Filed under: Alexandrium tamarense
Lineage: Eukaryota; Dinophyceae; Gonyaulacales; Pyrocystaceae
Description: eukaryotic LSU rRNA
Rfam family: Eukaryotic large subunit ribosomal RNA
Source: RNAcentral
UAAGUAAGUGGGGGAAAUUAAACCAAAUGGGAUAUCUUUAGUAAUUGCGAAUGAACAAGGAUAUGCUUAGCUUGACAAAUGGAGCUAUUGGCUUUGAAUUGUAUUGUGGAAAUGUAUUACCAACAGAGGUGCAGGUGCCAGCCUAUUGAAAUAAAGCGUCAAUGAGGGUGAGAAUCCUGUUUGUCAUGUGCAGCCCUUUGUGCACGGUGUAUAUUUGCUGAGUCACACUCCUUGGCAUUGGAAUGCAAAGUGGGUGGUAAGUUUCAUGUAAAGGUAAACAUGCAAUUGAGACUGAUAGCACACAAGUACCAUGAGGGAAAUAUGAAAAGGACUUUGAAAAGAGAAUUAAAUGAGUUUGUAUUUGCUGAACACAAAGUAAACAGACUUGAUUUGCUUAGUGGGAGUGUUGCACUUGCUUGACAAGAGCUUUGGGCUGUGGGUGUAAUGAUUCUUUCUUUGCAUGCCAGUUUCUAUUUGUACAUCUGAUUACCUUUGCACAUGAAUGAUAAGUCUCCUGUGGGGGGUGGAUUGCAUGUGCAUGUAAUGAUUUGUGUUUUGAUAAAUGUGUCUGGUGUAUGUGUGUGUUCCUGUGCUUGGGGAUGCUUCCUUCCUUGGACUUACAAGCCCUGACACACACAUGCUGGCAAAAUGCUUCUGCUUGACCCG